CUCCCAAAAGAUCUCCAUGUGCUAAUCCCUGGAACCUGUGAAUGAUACUUAUAUGAUUAAAAAAAGGAGGAGUUCUUUCAGAUGUAGUUAUGGAUUUUGAGAUGGGGAGAUUAUUAUGGACUAGGUGGUUAGUCAAUGGCACCCCACUCUAGUACUCUUGCCUGGAAAAUCCCAUGGAUGGAGGAGCCUGGUAGGCUGCAGUCUAUGGGGUCGCUAAGAGUCGGACACGACUGAGCGACUUCACUUUCACUUUUCACUUUCAUGCAUUGGAGAAGGAAAUGGCAACCCACUCCAGUGUUCUUGCCUGGAGAAUCCCAGGGACAGUGGAGCCUGUUGGGCUGCCGGUCUAUGGGGUCGCACAGAGUCGGACACAACUGAAGCGACUUAGCAGCAGCAGCAGGUGGUUAGUACUAAAUGCAAUCAUGUAUAUCCUUCUAACAGGGAGGUGAAGGAGAUUUGCACACACACAGAAAAUGUUCCGAGAAGGUGGUGAGAAGAUGAAGCAGAGAUUUGAAGAUGCUGACUUUGAAGACUUGAGUGAUACAGUCACUAGCUGCAGGAUGUUGGCACCACCAGAAGCUGAAGGAGGCAUGGACCAGCUUCUUUCCUAUAGUCUCUGAAGAUGCUGUAGCCCUGCUAAUACCUUGAUCUUGGUUCAGUGAUACUGACUUCAGACUCCUGGCCUCCAGGACUGCGAGAGAAUACAAGUCUACUGUUUUAAGUCACCACAUUUGCAGUAAUAGGAGUAAUAGGAAACUUAUUCAGGGUGUGACUGCUCAUGGCCAUGGGUGAUGAAAUGUUCUGAAACUGGAUUGUGGUGAUGGUUGCACAACUCAGUGAAUAUCCCUAAAACCACUGGAGUGCACACUCUAAGUGUGUCAAUUUUAUACUGUGUGAAUUAUAUCUCAAUAAGACUGUUAAAAAAUCUUUGUGACCUUGGGUUAAGCAAAGAUUUCUUAGAUACAACACCAAGGUAUGAUACAUAAAAAGUGAUAUAUUGGAGACUCCAUAAAAAUUUACAACCCUUGCUCUUGAAAGACACUAUUAAGAAAAUAAGAACCACAGAUUGGGAAAAAUAUUUGCAAAACACAUGUUUGAUACAAGACCUAUCAGGCUAUAUGAAGAGUCCUCAAACUCAAUAAGAAGAAAACAAACAAAUAAAAAAUGAAGAUUUGAACAGACUCUAUCUCAAAGCAGAUAUAUUGAUGGCAAAUAGGUACAACAAAAGAUACUCAGUAUCAUUAGUUAUUAGAGAAAUGCAAAAUAAAACCACAACAAAUACUACUACAUGCUAUUAGAAUGGGGCGCGGGGAGAACAACACUUGAUUAUAUCAUAAUGCUAUGAAGGAUAGGGGAGCAACUGGAAGAUCACCGGUAGAAAUGCAGAAUGGUGCAGCCACAUUGGGAAACAAUUAGUUUUUUUAAAAAUUAAAUACAAUCUUACAAUAGAACCCAGGAAUCCUGCUCUAGGUAUUUGCCCAAUUGAAACAUAAGCCCUAUUUCACAAAACCCUGUGUGUAAAUAUUUGUAGUAGUUUUAUUUGGAAUAAUCCCAAACUGGAAACCAAAUCUUAUUAUCCCUGAACUGGGAGGGAUAUGCAUAAGCAAUUAUGAUACAUCCAUACAGUAGGAUCCUGCUUUGCAAUAAAAAGAAACAAAGUAUUGAUAUGUUCAACAACACACAACAUCUCAAGUGCCUUAUACGAAGUGAAAGAAGCCAACUAAUAGGCUACACAUUGGAGGAAAAGAAACCCUCCAACUCUGUUGGUGGGAAUGUAAGUUGGUGCAGCCACAAUGGAAAAUGGUAUGGAAGUUCCUCAGAAAACUAAAUAUAGAGUUGUUAUAUGAUCCAGCAAUGCCACUCCUAGGCAUAUAUGUGGACAAAGCUGUAAUUCAAAAAGAUACACGCACUCCUAUGUUCAUGAGCAUCCCUAUUCACAAUAGCCAAGACAUGGAAGCAACCUAAAUGUCAAUUAUCAGAUGAAUGGAUAAAGGAGAUGAGAUACAUAUAUAAAUAGAAUACUACUCAAUUUAAAAAGAAUGAAAUAACGCCAUUUUCAGGAACACAGAUGGAACCAGAGAUUAUUAUGCUAAGUGAAAUCAAUCAGAAAGAGAAAGAUGAAUACCAUGCGAUAUCAUUUGUAUGUGGAAUCUACAAUAUGACAGAAAUUAACUUAUCAACAAAAUAGAAACAGAUUCACAGACAUGGAGAAUAGACUUGUGGUUGCCAAGGGAGAGAGGCUGGGGGAGGGAAGGGAUUUGGAGUUUGGGAUUAGCUGAUGCUAACUGUUGGCUUCCUGGGUGGUGCAGUGAUAAAGAAGCCACCUGCCAAUGCAGGAGAUGCAGAGGACACAGAUUUGAUCUCUGAGUUGGGAAGAUCCCUUAGAGUAGGAAAUGGCAACCCACUCCAGUAUUCUUGCCUGGAAAAUUCUAUGGACAGAGGAGCCCAGUGGGCUAUGGUCCGUGGGGUCACAGAGAGUUGGACACGACGGAGCACGAAGCAAACUAAUAUGUAUUGAGUGGAUGAACCACAAGGCCUUCGUGUAUAGCACAGGAAACUAUAUUCAGUAUCCUGUGAUAAACCAUAAUGGGAAAGAAUGUAAAAAAGAAUGUAUGUACGUAUAACCAAAUCACUUUGCUCUAUA
Long non-coding RNA from Bos taurus (domestic cattle), 2644 nucleotides. NCBI's taxonomy places the organism in Eukaryota, Metazoa, Chordata, Mammalia, Artiodactyla, Bovidae. The record is from Ensembl.